This 820-nucleotide long non-coding RNA is filed under the name Linum usitatissimum (flax). Its description in RNAcentral is "long non-coding RNA (LUSI_LNC007099)". The record is from RNAcentral. Lineage: Eukaryota; Viridiplantae; Streptophyta; Magnoliopsida; Malpighiales; Linaceae.
GCCGGAGCACACCGCCCGACCCGUCGGCGGGACUGAAUACAGCUGGUGCAAAGCAGUCCCAGGCGGCACCGGCAUCACAGUCCUCGCUCUCCUCCUCUCCAAAUCCCCCAACAUCCCAGUUCUCCAAAACGCCCUCCGAACACUCCAGAUUUCCCACUCUAUCCUCCGCUCCAAGCUCCGCUUCACCGCCGCGGCGAACAAUUUCUCUUUCGUCACUCCGCCGCCGUCUACGACUACUGCCGAAGACAUCCAACUCCGCCGCCGUCUACGACUACUGCCGACGACAUCCAAAUCCGCCACUUCGAUCUCUCCACCACCGCCGACAUUAUCAAAUCCGGCGAGACCGAGGAGAUCGAGAAGUUUGGAAUCACUCCGCACCAGCUGCUGCUCGAGCACGAGAUGAACGAUAAUCCGUGGACCGAUCACGGAAACGACGAGGAUAAGGAGCUGUUCUUCGUGAGCUUGUACUCGUUGAGCGAGGCGCGGUGGAUGCUGGCGAUACGGCUCCACACGGGGGCGUGCGACCGGUCAUCGGCGGUUGCGCUGCUGGCGGAGCUAAUGGAGUUGAUCGGCGGUGGUGGAGUCUGCGGAGAGAAGGAAGAGAUUCAGCAGAGCGAGAUCGGAUUGGGGAUCGAGGAGUACAUUCCUCGAGGGAAGGCGAACAAGCCGUUCUGGGCGCGUGGGAAGGACAUGCUUGGAUAUUCGCUGAAUGCACUCAGGACGUCGAAUUUGGAGUUCGUCGACCCCGCCGGCGAGCCUCGCUGCUCGCGGAUGGUCCGCCUGGUGAUGACCUCCGACGACACCGCUAAGCUCGUUGCUG